AUUGAACGCUGGCGGCAGGCCUAACACAUGCAAGUCGAACGAGUGGCGGACGGGUGAGUAAUGUCUGGGAAACUGCCUGAUGGAGGGGGAUCACUACUGGAAACGGUAGCUAAUACCGCAUACCAUCGGAUGUGCCCAGAUGGGAUUAGCUAGUUGGGGGGGUAAAGGCUCACCUAGGCGACGAUCCCUAGCUGGUCUGAGAGGAUGACUAGCGACACUGGAACGGAGAUACGGUCCAGACUCAGACGGUAGGGAGCAGUGGGGAAUAGUGCACAAUGGGAGCAGGCCUGAUGCAGCCCUGCCGAGUGUAUGAAGGAGGGAUUCGGGUUGGAAAGUACUUACAGCGGGGAGGCGUUACCCGAAGAAGAAGCACCGGCUAACUCCGUGCCAGCAGCCGCGGUAAUAC
RNAcentral lists this ribosomal RNA (406 nucleotides) under uncultured bacterium. Its description in RNAcentral is "partial 16S ribosomal RNA". It matches the Rfam family "Bacterial small subunit ribosomal RNA", at positions 29 to 526 of the family's 1533-position model. The record is from RNAcentral.